GUCAAGCAUAAACUGGGUCUGCAAUGGCAGUUUAGAUCAAUAAAGUAAAAAAAUCUGGGAAAGAGAUACAAUGUUCUCUCCAAAAAAUACAUGGGAACUUGAGAAAUGCCAUGAAAACCUGAACAGUGUCCCCAAACAAAUGAGUGAUCAGCCUAAAUUUUUUGUGUUAUUGUCAGAUUGUAUUGUUCUUUUCUGCUAUGUUUCUGCAGAUUGUUAUAGGUCUUGAUCUGUUUUGUGUUCUUGCCUUUUAGCAUUUAAAUUCCUAGGUUGGGUGUAUCUAGGCAGCCUUUCUUUUUUUCCUAAAUUUUAUUAAUUAAUAAAUUUUUGCUUAUAAAAAAAUUAGUGAAAUAGAAAAAGUCAUAUAUUGAUUUUAUAAAAACAUGUAAAUAUUGGAAAAGAAAAUGAAAAUACAAGGAUGGGUCAAGAAAAACAGGGAAACGUAAUCAGAAUAAUAAAAAUUAGUUUAUUGUUAGAACAACCACUCUCCUUUGCAUCGAUCUUCUCUACCCUUUCUUGCAUAUAUGCUUCCCCUGACUCUAUCAUCAGAGAUCGUUAAUGCAUGCUUCAUUGACCCAGAAGGGAUCUUUUCUGGAUUGUGCUGUGUUAGCAUGUCAGAUAUUCUAGUGAUUGUAAAAGCAAACAUGCAGGACCACAGAUUCAUUUACCCUAGUGGACCGAACUUGCUUCAG
Molecule: unclassified non-coding RNA, 689 nt
Filed under: Hevea brasiliensis (rubber tree)
Lineage: Eukaryota; Viridiplantae; Streptophyta; Magnoliopsida; Malpighiales; Euphorbiaceae
Source: RNAcentral